Long non-coding RNA from Mus spicilegus (steppe mouse), 1017 nucleotides. NCBI's taxonomy places the organism in Eukaryota, Metazoa, Chordata, Mammalia, Rodentia, Muridae. The record is from Ensembl.
ACAUUUCUCCUAAGCAAUAUGAUGUUGGCACUUGAAAGCUUUUCAAAAUUUUGUUGUAACUAUUAAAUUCGAUCUCCCCUUCUCUCCCUGCCAAGGCAAAGGAAACCUCCUGAGGAUUGCAAUUAGCUUCAGCCUCUACCGACUUCAAGGAGCUGCUGCAAAAAUAGGGACAACCAAAAGAAACAGGAUUGUUGUGGAUUUGUCCUGCCAGGGAGAUAGAACCACCAAGGGAAUCAACCUAUGGCAGAGGAAAAGACAACAUCCCCUCAAAUUCUCCCUUCCAGUAUGUUCUAAGAAUGCAAGCAAUGAACCUCAAAAUGAAGAGAUCCAGAAUAUUAAACGGAUUUUUAAACAGAAUUGUUCCAUUAUAAUAUAUUGACAAGAUGGAGCCACCCAUAGUGGUCCCAAUGAGAGACAGUAGUAUCAUUAGCAACCCCAGGCAGAAGCAGCAGAGAGAAGACUGAAAUGGAGAUACACAUGAGUACGACGUUUCAAACUUAUGUUUGAAUGACUACACCACUCCCUUUACUAUCCCAGAGUCCUCUGAGUGAAGCUAUGCAAAGAAAAGGAGAAGGAAUGCUGAAUCUUCCUCCUCACUCCCCAGUAUUAGGGGGAAAAAACCAGUGAAAUCCUAGGAAUUGCUGUAUUUGCACACUGGUGAUUCAUUCUUGUGCUAGACUUUUUCCAUUGUAACAAAGAACCUGAGAUAAUAAGCUAUAGGGAGAAACCUUUAGUUUGGGUCAUCCUUUCAGAGCUGUCUGCUCAUCAUUAGUUGGAUCCAUUUUUUCUGGACAAGACAGAACAUCAUGGUGGACAGAUAUAAUAAGGCAAACCUAGUCACCACUUCCAAUAGCAUCAUCAGCUGGGGACCAAGAUUUCAGCUCAUGCACCUUUGGAGGACAUUCUAGGCACAAAACCCAUCCACAAUGAAACCUACUUGUAAUGAAACCUGCAUCAGUAAUAAUUGUGUCUGUAAAAAUAAUAGUAAUAACCGUGUCUAUAAAAAAUAGUAAUAAU